ACUAUAGAACUUCAGAGCAAAGG
This 23-nucleotide non-coding RNA is filed under the name Cricetulus griseus (Chinese hamster). The record is from RNAcentral. Lineage: Eukaryota; Metazoa; Chordata; Mammalia; Rodentia; Cricetidae.